This 4405-nucleotide ribosomal RNA is filed under the name Triticum aestivum (bread wheat). Its description in RNAcentral is "partial small subunit ribosomal RNA". The record is from RNAcentral. Lineage: Eukaryota; Viridiplantae; Streptophyta; Magnoliopsida; Poales; Poaceae.
UCGACGGGUGCAAGUUCAUGCUUCUUUAGAAACCACCCUUUACUGUCUCGCGUGUUCAGGUGGAAUCACGAUAGACCAGGCGGGAGAAGGUGGGGCGGUGUGUCUGGGGUCGGUGGAGACGAUACCGGACUAGGCGGGGAGAAGGGGAGCCGCGGAGGUGAGGGGGUAGGGCAGGUCGGGUCGAGGCGGCAGCAGAGGUGAGGCUGUGGGGGAGGUCGGGGCGAGGCAGCGGCUCAAAGAAGUAGAGGCGGCGGGGGAGGUGGUGGCGUAUACGGGUAGAGGCGGUUGUCACAAACUGCACGUUCUUGAUCUGGUUCUUCUCUCUCUUCGCUUUCGGUGGGAAGCCCGGUACCUGGGGCGCUGCCGCCGGUACCCGAGGGAGGAAGGGUUCGACAAGCUCGAGGAGGUGCCUCUUAUGUUCGACGUCUUCUCGCACUUCUUUCUACAUCUUAAAGAGCUCUCCCUCUACUCCUCGUAUCUGCGGCGGGAGGCGUUUUACCGGUACCACGGCGCACUGGUCGAGCUACUGUUGAGGUUCUAGACCCGGUUACUACAGUCCCUCGACCGUAUGCUCUACCUCCUACAGCAACUUGUGAAGUACCACCUGCAGGUCCCUAAGCUCGGCCGGCGAUUGGGGCUGCCAAAGUUUCCCAAGUACUUCUUCCACCGAUUGAACAAGUGUUUUCCGUUCCGCGCGGUGGUCUAGCGGCUACGUUAGUUUCCGUAGUUCCUAGUCCAGGUCGUCCACCGCCUAGCUGCGCUGGCCAUGUUCUACCUACUACAACUCCGUUGAGAUCGACGAAGUUGGUAGCAACUGGGAGAUCUGGGAGCGAACUACCAAGUCAAGUUUCUAGUGUCUCUCGAACAACCGUAGCUCCCCGGUUCUCUGCUCGAUUAGUUCUCCGACCGUCUACUUCUACUAACACACAGGUUCGUCGUCGAGUUCUAGGAGAGCUAGAAGCCUAAACCUCCUGAACCGUUCUGUUGAGAACGGUCUCGUCAAAUGCUGUUCUAUGUUCGUCUUAAGCAUACAUUCCGAAAACAAAGCCAGCCAGUCUUCGGAUUAGACUUCUUACAAGAGUAUCCAUAAGAGGAGGCUUAACUGUUUCGGAGAACAGUGUUACAAUGUGACAAUCUACUCCACGACGAGUAACUCUUUGAGGCUCUUGACGAAUGCUUGUUCUCCAUGGAGUAGUAGUAACUACUAUAUACCCUAAACUCAAGUACCCUAUAUUAGUUUACACGAAAAUGAUUAUCAUUCACACCUUCGUUUCAUUAGUGUUGAUGAGCAUAGAAACUUCACCGUUUUCUCCGUCCACUGUAAAUGUUCGUUCUUGGAGAAAGAGUACCAUCUAGCUUCCUUAAUAAGACAUACUCUAAUAGAUAACCGUUUUCGUUUGCGGGAAUAGUACUUAGCCAAUUCUAUAGACUCUUCUAUAACGUCUUUACACCACCGUAUGGCGAUCGAUAGUAAUGUUAUCGAUCGAACAACCGAUCAUUUGGUCAUUGUCUGACCGGACCCCAGAUACUGAGAUAACCAAAACCCUUGCUUCUAUUGUUUCUUCACCUAUGGUGUUCUUUCUAUAACAAUAUAUCGAUGAUACUAGAAGGUAUAAUAGGUGCCGAAACGGAUAACGUGGAUCCGUAUAUGGGGCUUCUAAUACUCUAUUUUUUCCUGUGAAAUUAAACCUUCACCCACCGACUUCCUAUACAGGUACUCCUUGGUCCUUUUCCUGAUAAACUCCAACCUCUCUCUAUGAAGUUGUACGAGUAUCUAUCUUCGUACUAGGUCCGUCACCUCUCCGGUAUAAUAUCGUAGUAUAUACGAACAGCACACGUACUAAACCAUGAACUAUACUAAGUAAAAGAAAGUCUUCUGCUUUCAAAACAAUGACGUAGCUUGUCAUUGUCCUGUAGAGGAGCAUGGUUACGAGCAUCCAAUCGGUAUUUAUUACUUCAGCAUCUCGUCCUACCAAGACACCGAUUGUGCUCGUACGUUGUCCACUCCAAUAUAUCACGGUGGUACACAGUGAAAUGAUACAACGGUAACGAAAGUUUGAAAUUUCGAGAGGCACACAACCGAAAUCUUCUCACGUGAAAGUACCCUUCACUCGCGAGACACUUCGACCUUCUAAGAGGAAUAGUAGAAUUAAUAGAACCCUCCGACUAAGUGGACUCCAUGGAACCCAAGAGCCUGGCCGACCAACCCAAGAGGGACGGACCCUAGAGGUACGGCGAAUAAAAUUUCCAGGGACUUCUUUAUCCCCUAGAUUCCAAAAACGUCCAUGACCUGAACCCGUCUUGACCGUAAUUUUUUGACGGAGUUUCACAACCGGCCGAUUGUGUUGACUUCACGGACGCGAAACCGCCAAGGUCAUACCUCCACAACCUGACGUGCUUAAAUUGUAGGGACCUUCUCGAUGUUAACGUGGAACAGAGAGGUCUAAAAGAGUUUCCCGAACAGUUCGACUUCCUCAACUCUUUCAAAUCGGAUGUGAAACUUCUCCUCGUGCUCUUAUACAACAAGUUUCUAAACUACCCUGUACAACGGUUAGACGUUUUUGAAGUUCAGUAUUACCAAUUAACAUCCAUAAGUUGAGUUUUUCUUUUUUUAACAUCCAUAGUUGGCGCAGGAUUCGGUACCAGGCUAAUGCGACCGAGACACCGGGAACCCGUGGAGGCAGUAGACUGUCACUUACCGGACGAUACCCGACGGUCACACCUAAUUGAGGAGUACGGAGGGCUUGGAGACGGUGAACGUAUACCUUGACUGCCGAUACUUUAGCGUCCUAUACCUCUAGGAACCCUCCAAGAGUCUCGAGUAAUGAGACUGGCAAGAAGAGAUACUAAUGUACCAAAAAGGAUUGCGGUACCUCCUCCCACGUAAAGGGUUCAACUCUAUGAACCUUGACUUCUUAAGAUUGGUCGGGUCUAAACAUGUCCCUCGUUACAGGUCGGAACUCACAAAAUCCUAUUAUUAGCCGGAUCUUCCCUGGUUACCGACCCUGAAGGUAUCGGACCACUUGGAGGGAGCAGAACUCUUUCAACUACGACUUUAGGAUCCGAUGUGACCGUCCCCAUAGCUGCCUCUGCUCAACGUCCGUGUACUCAGCAACUUCGUCCGUGUACGCAGCAACUUCGUACGUCAACUCUAGGUAGGGUUGGUAGGGUGUGAGUUCAACGUCUAAAUAGUAUCAACUGGGCUAAAGGGUCGGCAGAACGUGAGUUACAUGGACAAUGCACAUUCGAAGUAAAAUGUCUUCAUCCGGAAGUACGUCUAUAAUUACCUCUACCUCAAAAUCUAGUACAAGUCCAACAGCCACGUUUACCACGACUCGUUUGACAACAAUGGCCCAGGUACCUUCACGAGUUGGGACAACCCGUCAACGGUGUAGACCAUAUGGCCACGUCCUCGUUGAAAAAUUACAAGGAUAAACGGUGAUGUUAGUAGAGUUAGACAAGGUAGUACCACUGAAAAGUUCUUCAAGACCCUCCUGUAAACUAGGUAGAUCGAAUCUCCACCGCCGUGGUUAAGACGACCUCUCUCUGCUAUCAGUACAUGUGUCUUCUCUUUCAGUACCGCUAUAGUAGAAAGAUCGUUCAGCCAUAUAAAGAAAUCGCUAAAACCUGCGUAGUUCAGCUACCACGAUCGAACAGAGAAGACUUUAUUACUCGUCGCCAAAGAUGUUAUGGGACUGAACAAACAGAUAGUAGUAUCCACUCGAGUAUGAGAGGUCCGAAUUAACCAGUGCUAUACUGUACCUCCACCGUUUUGAUAGCUGUCCGCGCCGUACCUGUUUGGAAGGUAGGGGUAGUCCCUACUGCCUCUUGUGGCACUAGGGGUGAGAGUUCCGGAAGAGGAACGCUCGGAUACUGGGUUUCGUCCACUAGUAACGACCGCCGCUAGUCCUCCAACACCACUAGAGAGGAAGACCACCGGAUGACCGCAGCUAGCUGGAGGGGCGCGGCGGCUGAAUGCGUGAUUAGGAACUCCUAAAGAGGCCCCUACCCGACUGACUAAAGUACGACCACUGUAGGCCCCCUCACAUACCUAAACACGUCUGCUCCGUCGGACCCCGCGAGAAGAAGCCGUGCGAGCAGCCGACGAACUAGCAGCGCUAGUCCCGCUAAGAACAAAGAGAUGUGGAGUUGAGCAGCUUGUUGCCAUUUGGUUCCAGAAGAAGCUGGCUGAUGUCCACUGACGCUGUCGCCAUAAGACGACUCUCCUAGAACACUUGUAGGGGCCGUGCGUCACUCCUCUACAAUAUCACAACUUCGUUCUGAAGAUAAUUAAUAUCGACCGACCUCCACAAAUCGAACACAGAACAUUCAUAAACCCAACCACUUGAAAGCAACAAGAAGUUAUAUUAGGAAGCGAUCGUAUUCACAUAUAUGGACUUCUGGG